This 929-nucleotide long non-coding RNA is filed under the name Chrysemys picta bellii (western painted turtle). RNAcentral describes it as "lncRNA (ENSCPBG00000000402.1)". The record is from RNAcentral. Lineage: Eukaryota; Metazoa; Chordata; Testudines; Emydidae.
CCAUAAGGCGCCCUAGGGCCUACCGGGACUGGGGGCUGCCCGGGGCGGGGCGCGCUGUCCGGCCCGGGCCCACUGGCGGGGGGAGGGGUGACCCGGGGGUGGGGCCGUGGGCCAGGCCCCGUUAGCGGCGGGAAGGAAAGUUUCCAACUCAGCGGGAUGGAAGGGGCCCCGGGCCGUGAAGUUACCUGCGGGUCCCGGACGGGAAGAAGGCACCAGUGGAUCCUGAGCCCGGAGCCGCCUCAGCUGCUUUGUCUCUGCGCCGCGCCCGUCCCGACUGGAGAGGAGGAAAUGGGCUCUUCCGGGCACCUCCCCCUACGGCCUAGCCGGCUCUUCCGGGCACCUCCCCCUACAGCUCCGCCGGCUCUUCCCGGGGCCGCCCGCCCUGCGCAGGGGGAAGCACUGCUGGCCUAACUGCCAUGGGGAUUUGGAGAGAGCCAAGAUAAAGGGGUCACCCAUAGUUGCUUGCUGUCUGCUGACUCCCUGCAGGCUUCUGUUCCAGAGAUGACCUGAUGUCCCUGACUGUGCUGUGUUUGCAAGAACCUCAGGGAUUGCUAUGCAGUGACAUUUACGUGCAGUGAGGCGCAAGGAAUCCUUUAGGAAACAAGAGCCUUGGGGCUAGGAUUUUGCUUGUUACAACCCUGAACUCAGCCAAAGGCCUUGCCUCGGAGUUGGAGCUGGGUUUGAACUGCUUGUCUGGAGGAAGCUCUAAUCUUGCUGUUCUCCUUGUCUAUAUCUUCUACUGUUGUGUGUUUAACACUCUCACCCUCACACCCACACAACUGCCUAGGGCAAUCUGAUAGGCUUCUGCCCAAGGACCCCUCCCUGCAACUGUUAGCAGGGUUAACAGCAAGUCCACUAGAGUGGCUUUGUGAGGUUGGAGAACCUCUGAAGUUGGGGUGGGGUGGAUACUUUUCAUUGUUUCUUUGUUA